This 256-nucleotide ribosomal RNA is filed under the name uncultured bacterium. RNAcentral's name for it is "partial 16S ribosomal RNA". It matches the Rfam family "Bacterial small subunit ribosomal RNA", at positions 524 to 777 of the family's 1533-position model. The record is from RNAcentral.
UACAGAGGGGGCAAGCGUUGUUCGGAAUUACUGGGCGUAAAGGGCGCGUAGGCGGCCUGUUAAGUCGAACGUGAAAUCCCUGGGCUCAACCCAGGAACUGCGUCCGAUACUGGCAGGCUUGAAUUCGGGGGAGGGAUGCGGAAUUCCUGGUGUAGCGGUGAAAUGCGCAGAUAUCAGGAGGAACACCGGUGGCGAAGGCGGGUCUCGUGGGCAGUGAACUGACGCUGAGGAGCGAAAGCGUGGGGAGCGAAGCAGG